AUAAUUAAAAAAAAAAAACUUCAAAUACCAUUCCUACAGUUACACACUUUCUCACUUUAGUAUCAUAUUAUUUAAAGUGUAUCAAUUUAGUGCCAUGUGGUUUAUUUUUAUUUUUUUAUUAUCGAUUUCACUAAUUUUUUUCGUUAAAUUAGUGACAAAGUUAAAACUAAAGAGUACAAAAGUAAAUAUUCGAGAAAUCUAAGUGGGAUAUUGUCACGUCUCGGAUUACUACGUUUUUACGGGCACGUCAACAAACCCGUCGUAUACACAAGAAUUUUCCGUGUAUACGAAACGAUAGCUAUAUCUGCAAACAGAAUAUAACUACAGCAGGAGUACAGAGCUGCUAAAGCUAAGCACAUAUAUAAAAACAUAAUAAGCCCAUGGUACAUACAAUAUCUAAAGUACAACCUCGAUUCUGAAAGUAUAACAAAAUAUAACUGUAUGUACACGGUAACAACCUAAAACUAUCUUUGAAGGGGUACUCCUCUAGCACAGUGAUCAGGGAUGGUAGGAUUUAGCUCGCAACUCCCUUACCACCGUUAGAAUCAACAGCAUCAGCAGGAGACAAGGCUCUGCAAAAAAGUGACAAUAACUGAGUGUGAGAACUACUACAGAACAGAGUAGUUCUCAAUGGGUACCGU
Molecule: long non-coding RNA, 641 nt
Filed under: Ananas comosus (pineapple)
Lineage: Eukaryota; Viridiplantae; Streptophyta; Magnoliopsida; Poales; Bromeliaceae
Description: long non-coding RNA (ACOM_LNC013970)
Source: RNAcentral